GUCAUCGCCUUGCGCCCGGGUGAGGCGGCGGCCUCGAGGAUUGUCCUGCUGUGCUCCGCAGUGCUCCAACGCCGCGGGGCGGCUCCGGGCGCCGCCUCAGCUUCUACAGGAGAGACGUUGUGGGUGAGACAGAGGGAACAUCAAAUGAGAAACUGGGAAGAGAUAUGAAGUAGCGGGACCAGUUUUUCUAAAUGGUUAUCAAGUUUCUCAACAGAAAGCUCAACUGAUCAAAGAGAAGGAAGGAAGCAAUUUGCUGGGCUCCCAGGACACCAACGCAGAGCUACCUUUCGAGCCGGCACUGUGUGACUGCAUGGAGACUGUCUGUGCCAGUGGGCCAGACCUAAAGAAGGAACUACCAGAUGAUGCUGAGGAUUCCUGCAUUCAUCGACAGAAGCAGUUUAGUGAGACAAAGGAACCGUAAGGCAGGAUAUGCAGUAACUGCUACUGAGCAGGUAAUCAGAGUACAACCGUUACCUGUAGGGACUUCCACUAAGAGGUCUAAAAUAGCCUUAAACGUAUGGACAGAUGCUAAAUAUGCAUUUGGGGUGGCACACACUUAUGGUACCAUCUGGAAAGAGCAAGGAGUGCUCACACACGGGGAAAACAAAUUGAGCACGGUGUAUAUCUACCAAAGAGCGUGGCUGUUAUACACUGUGAUGGACAUCAGAAAGGUGACACUGUCCAGGAAACUGGAAAUAUGAUAGGGAUCAGGUGGCAAAACAGGCAGUUGAAGGAAAAGAAAUAGCAGAACUGGCUUUAAUUCCAGAUGGUAAACUUCAAAUCUCUGAACCUGAGUCAGCCUGUGGAGCAUUUUAGAGGGGACGGGAAUCUAAUUAAUGAUUUAGAAGGGAAGAGAGCUAGCUGACAGAUGGGUGCGUACCCAGAUGGACACGCUGUUGUGCCCUUUAGUACUUUAUGGAAGUUGGUUCUAAGGGAACAUAUUGAAACAUACUGAGGGGACAAACAGUAGAAAGUAAUUGCGCAAUCUAGUACCAGGAACAGGGUACAAGUGGGGCCUAUUAGGAAAGGGAACCUUCCAGGGCAACAAUGGCAAAUUGUUUUUUGUUUGGAACUACCAGGAAAAAAGGAGGGUUUUGUUAUAUGCUAGUUGAAACCAAUACCUUUCCAGGGUGGCCAGAAGCAUUCCCUCUGCAAAGCCAAAGAAGUAGCUGAGGUAUUGUUGCAGGAGAUUAUUCCAAGGUUUGGGGUUAGUGCAACAAUAUCCUCCAACCAGGGAGCUCCCUUGAUUGUAAAGAUUGUCCAACAGGGCAGAAAUAGCUUUGGGAAACAGAGAAACUGGUUCUAGGAACAAGAGCCCAAGGCCUUGACAGCUUGAUAAAUCAUAUUUUACAAAGAGAU
Molecule: long non-coding RNA, 1359 nt
Organism: Gallus gallus (chicken)
Lineage: Eukaryota; Metazoa; Chordata; Aves; Galliformes; Phasianidae
Exons: 3
Source: RefSeq, a predicted model, not a curated record